This 215-nucleotide long non-coding RNA is filed under the name Sorghum bicolor (sorghum). RNAcentral's name for it is "long non-coding RNA (SBIC_LNC010766)". Lineage: Eukaryota; Viridiplantae; Streptophyta; Magnoliopsida; Poales; Poaceae. The record is from RNAcentral.
GGGGUGGCGGCAGCCUGGCCGAAGGUGAAGUGGAUACUAUCGGCUCGCAUUUGGUCGACUCUAAUUGGCUAUUUCCUGUUGAAAUUAGUGGACCAACUAGAUGUAGAUUAGUGGGUGUACAAGAUUCUUUCAUUGUAAAAGACUUAGAUCAUACACUAGAGAGAAAGAUGGGUAAAAGAGGGAAUUGAAAUGUCUGACCAUCAACACAGUUGGCA